This 273-nucleotide long non-coding RNA is filed under the name Olea europaea subsp. europaea. Lineage: Eukaryota; Viridiplantae; Streptophyta; Magnoliopsida; Lamiales; Oleaceae. The record is from RNAcentral.
AAAAAGUAUUGUCUUAGUAGGCUGUAGUCUCUGAUCUUUUUGACUGUAUGCUUAUGUUAAUUUUGGCAGCUUACCUUUCUCCAACUGAAGAUGAUGCCAGGAGACUACAGCCCAGAAGGAUAAUUGUCUAUUUUUCCUAUUUGGAUAUAAUUAUAAAUUGUUGUGUAAGUGAGUUGAGUGUUAGGGGCCAAUGUUGUGGAUUUACGUGGCUUCUGAAAAUUUAAAUCUUGUUUUGAAUUUGCUUGUGCUAUAUAUUUAUGAUGAAAUCAUGCU